This 502-nucleotide ribosomal RNA is filed under the name uncultured bacterium. Its description in RNAcentral is "bacterial SSU rRNA". It matches the Rfam family "Bacterial small subunit ribosomal RNA", at positions 28 to 523 of the family's 1533-position model. The record is from RNAcentral.
GACGAACGCUGGCGGCGUGCCUAAUACAUGCAAGUCGGACGAGGAUGUUUCUACAUCCUAGUGGCGAACGGGUGAGUAACACGUAGGGAACCUGCCCCUAAGACGAGGAUAACUACUGGAAACGGUAGCUAAUACUGGAUAGGAUAAGUUGACGCAUGUUGGCUUAUUUAAAGGUGCCUAUAAAGCACCGCUUAGGGAUGGCCCUGCGGCGCAUUAGCUAGUUGGUGGGGUAACGGCCUACCAAGGCGACGAUGCGUAGCUGUGCUGAGAGGCAGAACAGCCACACUGGGACUGAGACACGGCCCAGACUCCUACGGGAGGCAGCAGUAGGGAAUUUUCGGCAAUGGGGGGAACCCUGACCGAGCGAUGCCGCGUGAGUGAUGAAGGUCUUCGGACUGUAAAACUCUGUUAUUAGGGAAGAAUACUAUAGGGAGGAAAUGCCUUAUAGAUGACGGUACCUAAUGAGGAAGCCCCGGCAACUAUGUGCCAGCAGCCGCGGUAA